GCGUUCCUCGACUGGAGAGAGGCGGGUGCUGCAACCCGUCCACCGAAGGGGCAAGCGGGCCGCCGGCCGAACCGGCGCCGCCAAUCUCUCAGGUAAAGCGGACAGCGAGGGCACG
Molecule: non-coding RNA, 115 nt
Filed under: Burkholderiales bacterium JOSHI_001
Lineage: Bacteria; Pseudomonadati; Pseudomonadota; Betaproteobacteria; Burkholderiales
Also listed under: 1 other name
Description: Glycine riboswitch aptamer
Rfam family: Glycine riboswitch aptamer
About the family: This family represents the bacterial glycine riboswitch.
Source: Rfam by way of RNAcentral